Non-coding RNA from Cherax quadricarinatus, 383 nucleotides. The record is from RefSeq and is a predicted model, not a curated record. NCBI's taxonomy places the organism in Eukaryota, Metazoa, Arthropoda, Malacostraca, Decapoda, Parastacidae.
GGGGGACCUACCCACGCCCGUGUAUGGGUACAUCAUAGACAACGAUUAUCACAGAGAGCACAGUUACUGGAUUGGAGGAACUGACGCUAAUCAUGAAGGAACCUGGGUUUGGAUUAGCAGUGGAGAUGAGAUGGAGAUGGGUGUACCUCACUGGUACACAGGAGAACCUGAUGGUAGUUACUGGGAAAACUACUGCUGCUUACACAAACCUGACUAUUACUUCCACAGCUGUGACAACGAUAAUAAUUACCAUGCUAUAUGUCAGAUUUAAUUCUGCCUGACUUGUGACAAAUUACCAAGAUGCACUGUAGAUGAGUUUAUCAGAUAUAUUAAUAUUGAUAUAAUGCUAAAGAAAUGUUUAUGAAAUAUAUGAAAAAAGGAUU